Molecule: ribosomal RNA, 466 nt
Filed under: uncultured bacterium
Lineage: Bacteria
Description: partial 16S ribosomal RNA
Rfam family: Bacterial small subunit ribosomal RNA
Source: RNAcentral
AGUGAACGCUGGCGGCGUGCUUAACACAUGCAAGUUGAACGGAUGAAGAUUGUGCUUGCACAAAUGGAUUCAGUAGCAGACGGGUGAGUAAUGCGUGGGAAUCUACUUUGUAAUGGGGGGAUAACUAUUGGAAACGAUUGCUAAUACCUUAUAUAGCCGAGAGGUGAAAGAUUUAUCGUUACAAGAUGAGCCCACGUGGGAUAAGGUAGUGGGGGAGGUAAUGGCUCACCAAGACAAUGAGUCCUAGUUGGUUUGGAGAGGAUGAUCAGCCACACUGGAACAGGGACACGGUCCAUACUCCUAUGGGAGGCAGCAUUGGGGAAUAUUGGACAAUGGGCGCAAGCCUGAUCCAGCAACGCCGCGUGAGUGGUAAGGCCUUAGGGUUGUAAAGCUCUUUUAGUGGAGAAAAUAAUGAUGGUAUCCACAGAAAAAGCCCCGGCUAACUUCGUGCCAGCCGCCGCCGUAA